Molecule: unclassified non-coding RNA, 277 nt
Filed under: uncultured Venturiales
Lineage: Eukaryota; Fungi; Ascomycota; Dothideomycetes
Description: sequence contains 5.8S rRNA gene, ITS2, 28S rRNA gene
Source: RNAcentral
AACGCACAUUGCGCCUCUCGGUAUUCCGGGAGGCACGCCUGUUCGAGCGCCAUUACACACUCCAAGCGCGGCUUGAUGUUGGGCGUCGCGUCCUGGGAGGGGCGCGUGCCUGGAACGUGUUGGCGGCGGCCGUGGGAGCGCGAGCGUAGCAAGACAGUUUCCGUCAUCGCUCGCGGCGACCGCGGUCGGCCUUUUGCCCUUCUCGAUGCGUGCCGUGAAAGGUGCGUAGGUAACAGAGUUUGGCCUCGAAUCAGGCGGGGAUACCCGCUGAACUUAA